RNAcentral lists this ribosomal RNA (792 nucleotides) under uncultured bacterium. Its description in RNAcentral is "bacterial SSU rRNA". It matches the Rfam family "Bacterial small subunit ribosomal RNA", at positions 8 to 793 of the family's 1533-position model. The record is from RNAcentral.
AGAGUUUGAUCCUGGCUCAGGACGAACGCUGGCGGCGUGCCUAAUACAUGCAAGUCGAACGGUUCUUUCUUUUGGAAGCUUGCUUCCGAUCGAGAGAAUAGUGGCGGACGGGUGAGUAACACGUGGGUAACCUGCCCAUAAGAGGGGGAUAACAUCCGGAAACGGGUGCUAAUACCGCAUAGUUUUGAUCACAUGAUCGAGAAAGGGGCCUUUGUGCUGUCGCUUAUGGAUGGACCCGCGGCGUAUUAGUUAGUUGGUGAGGUAAUGGCUCACCAAGACGAUGAUACGUAGCCGACCUGAGAGGGUGAUCGGCCACAUUGGGACUGAGACACGGCCCAAACUCCUACGGGAGGCAGCAGUAGGGAAUCUUCCGCAAUGGACGAAAGUCUGACGGAGCAACGCCGCGUGAGUGUUUUCGGAUCGUAAAACUCUGUUGUCAGAGAAGAACAAGGUAACUGCUUUUCCCUUGACGGUAUCUGACCAGAAAGCCACGGCUAACUACGUGCCAGCAGCCGCGGUAAUACGUAGGUGGCAAGCGUUGUCCGGAUUUAUUGGGCGUAAAGCGAGCGCAGGUGGUUCUUUAAGUCUGAUGUGAAAGCCCACGGCUCAACCGUGGAAGGUCAUUGGAAACUGGGGAACUUGAGUGCAGAAGAGGAGAGUGGAAUUCCAUGUGUAGCGGUGAAAUGCGUAGAUAUAUGGAGGAACACCCAGUGGCGAAAGCGACUCUCUGGUCUGUAACUGACACUGAGCUCGAAAGCGUGGGGGAGCAAACAGGAUUAGAUACCCUGGUAG